RNAcentral lists this ribosomal RNA (465 nucleotides) under uncultured bacterium. RNAcentral describes it as "partial 16S ribosomal RNA". It matches the Rfam family "Bacterial small subunit ribosomal RNA", at positions 338 to 795 of the family's 1533-position model. The record is from RNAcentral.
CCUACGGGUGGCAGCAGUGGGGAAUAUUGCGCAAUGGGCGAAAGCCUGACGCAGCGACGCCGCGUGAGGGAUGAAGGUCUUCGGAUCGUAAACCUCUGUCAGCAGGGAAGAACGGUCACUGUGCUAAUCAGCAGUGAAUUGACGGUACCUGCAAAGGAAGCACCGGCUAACUCCGUGCCAGCAGCCGCGGUAAUACGGAGGGUGCGAGCGUUAAUCGGAAUUACUGGGCGUAAAGCGCUCGUAGGCGGUAUGUCAAGUCAAGGGUGAAAUCCCCGCGCUCAACGUGGGAACUGCCUUUGAAACUGGCAAACUGGAGUGUGUGAGAGGAUAGUGGAAUGCCAGGUGUAGGAGUGAAAUGCGUAGAUAUCAGGAGGAACAUCAGUGGCGAAGGCGACUAUCUGGCACAUAACUGACGCUGAGGAGCGAAAGCGUGGGUAGCAAACAGGAUUAGAUACCCGGGUAGUC